This 1501-nucleotide long non-coding RNA is filed under the name Nicotiana benthamiana. RNAcentral describes it as "long non-coding RNA (NBEN_LNC028488)". Lineage: Eukaryota; Viridiplantae; Streptophyta; Magnoliopsida; Solanales; Solanaceae. The record is from RNAcentral.
GCUAGGCCACCGUCUUUUUAGAAAAUAUUUUUCCUUUUAAAACAAUUGGACUCAAAACUAAGUCUGCACCAGAGAUUCAGGUAAGGGGGUUCAUUUAACUCUUGGAGAAGGUGUUAGGCACUCCCCAAGUCCCGUGAAAGUCAGGGUUGCGUACUCGAUCUAGUUGGUUUUUAAAAUAUUCAAAUUGAGGCUGAACACACAAAAAUAAAGUAAACACAAAAAAGGCUCGAGGUCGUCCCCGCCUAAAUGAAAGAAAAUUAAAAGAAGAAAAAUUAAAGUUCCAGAUUAUCCUACGCUAUUUCUUCUACGUUGUUCUUCAUGGCCUCCAAUUACUUUCACAUCAGGGCAUACCCCUGAAAUAAAAUAUAUACAUAUCCCUCUGGUCAUUCCUCUGAUAUAUUAAACUAAAAAAUAACCUCUUGCCUCUGAAAUUAAAAACAAACAAAUAAAAAAUUUUAAGGCUUGCCUACCAAGUAUGGUCGGCCUAAGCAUGCUAUUAAGGAUUGAGAGUAACCAAAAUAAAUAAGAGCGAGAUAUCUCCUUAAGAUCCAAUUUCUUUCUUAGGCACUGAAUUACUUCCCAUGGCCCACAUGUAUCUAAAAAUUUACUCAAUGUUUCCUAAAGUAACAGAAUCAGACCUCAAAAUAGGAACCAAAGAAAGAUCCAUGUUCCAUCAACUUUUGAUCAAUCGACACAAUUAGCAAAUCAAGCAAAUGACCAAACAAUCAACUUUUGACUAGGUAAAAUAUGUUUCAUAAUAGAAAUCAUCAGUUAAACAGAGAUCCCACAAGUUUAAUCAACAAAAGCAAUAUUAUCAAGAAAUCACAUAUAUGAAGUUAAAAACGGGUAACUAAUAGAUAAGAGAUAAGAGUGAACCUUAAAAGUAAAAUCCCUUUAAUUAGUGCAGCAGAAUCCAUAAAUCAGAACUUCGGCCUGUGAAGUGCUUCAUAUUUGAUAUGUAAAGGAAAUUUUCCGACGGUUCCACAAACAACCAGAAAUUUCAAACGAGCUAUGGACCGUAAACUCGAACAGGCGUUGCAACCUCGAACGACCUCGGCUUGACCCGAUUUUGGUGGUGAUUUUUGGCUGAUUUUGCUGCAGGUUGUCAUGGGAGAUGGUGGCUGGUUUUAAACUGGAUUUUCAGCUCAUUUUUGAAGCUGAUUUGUGGUCGAUUUUGGGGAGAAAGCUACUGCAUUUUUGCAGCAUUUUGGAGUUAAAAAUGAGAUGCUUUGCUGAAGUUUUUGGCAUGAUUUUCAGCAGCUUUGCAACUGAUUUUACUGCUCUCUGAUGGCUGUAUUUUGUAGCUUGGUGGAGGAAACUGAAGCUUUACAUGGCUGAAGUUUCAGCUGGUUUGUGAAAGUGCUGAAUAUGAAGAAAUGGGAUCUCGGCUGUGCGUUACUAUCCACCCCUCCUCUUUUGUUUUUUUGGGUGUGUUUCUUCAAGUUGAGAGAAAGAAAAAGUUGGAAUCCAAAGGUGGGAGGGAGGCGCUACUGUGCAGCGG